Long non-coding RNA from Magnolia sinica, 1365 nucleotides. RefSeq lists it as uncharacterized. The record is from RefSeq and is a predicted model, not a curated record. The transcript has 2 exons. Lineage: Eukaryota; Viridiplantae; Streptophyta; Magnoliopsida; Magnoliales; Magnoliaceae.
CAUUUAAGACUUUUAUAUCCUGAUUUGUUUGACCAUUCACUAGCAUUUUUCUGUUCCAAUAACUUGGGUAAUUAAUUUCUUAGCUUAAUUGGUUGCUGAUAUUUUAUCCAAUCAAACGACUAUCCUGUUUUAUGGUUGGUAGGUGGGUCUGUGAGGCAAGUUACUGUGCUUAAUUUUCUGGUACUUUUUCUUGGCAGAUUUCUAAAUAAGCUUUGAUUUAGGCUCAAUUGUCGAAAGAAGAAAAUUGUACAUGAUGAGUAACGUGAGGGUUGUUCAUUAGUUGUUAUUGGCCCCUCAUUGUAUAUUUGGUAGCACUUUCUCCAUUUUGCUUGUCCAAACAAACAACUAUUCUGUUUUAUUGUUGGUAGGUGGGUCUGUGAGGCAAGUUACUGUGCUUAAUUUUUUGGUACUUUUUUCUGGGCAGAUUUCUAAAUAAGCUUUGAUUUAGGCUCAAUUGUCAAAGGAAGAAAAUUGGUACAGGAUGAGUAAUGCCAGGGUUGUUCAUUAGUUGUUAUUGGCCCCUCUUUGUAUCUUUGGUAGCACUUUCUCCAUUUUGCUUCAAUAUAUUUUGCCAUCUUUCAAAGAAAAAGAAAGUGUACUUUGAAGGAAUUUACACAUUUUGCCUUUUUGUUUUUUGGUUAGCUUGUUACUACACCCACUGUCAGUUCACACUUCACUGUUAGCCACCCCCACAAGGGAAUCAAUGCCAAGACCUUAGUGUUGAAACGAGGUAUCUUUCACUGAGUCUACCACAUCAGCUAUGGAUCAGGGUGUUACACAUUCUGCCUCAGAGGGUGAAAUUUUACUAUAUUUAUGCAUAUGCUGCCUAUGAGAUGCAUUACGUCUUUAGAUGAAGCAUGCCUAUGGUGAAUUAUAUAUGUCCACCAUUAUCUGUUGAAUAUUAUUAGAGUUAUUUGUCUUCUCGUUUCACCAUCCAAAACAUGGUAAUGCUACAUUAAGUCAUUGCUAUUUGUUGUUUACAAAAUAUCUAUCAAAUUACGGGUGGGCUGGUGGCAAUAGGCUGAGCGCUGUUGGCCCUAGCCCGGACUUGGCCCAAAUCGGACUUGAAAGGCCCUAAUGUUAGCCUUAGCCUUACAGGGCCACGCUGGCUAGGGCAGAAAAAGAGUUAAACGAUCAAAGGUUUGAAAAUAGUCCAGUCUUAAGAUUUUUUAAUUUUUUUUAAUUUUUUUUUGGGGACAUUCUCCAUUUAUGACAAGUCCCAUCAUAUGCACAGUUUGGAUCCCCUGGAUCCAACAAGUGUCUUUAAGAUCAAAACAAAUGAUUUGAAUGGGAUUCAAAGAAUCGAAGUGAAGUGGACCAUUAUGGGAAAAAUCGGAAAGAAGGGUAAACCUUCACUUUCUUUUU